This 335-nucleotide unclassified non-coding RNA is filed under the name Hevea brasiliensis (rubber tree). Lineage: Eukaryota; Viridiplantae; Streptophyta; Magnoliopsida; Malpighiales; Euphorbiaceae. The record is from RNAcentral.
AUCAUCAUUAUCUCAAACAAAAUUAAUGCAUUAUAAACGCCGUUUCUACAUCUUAACGACUAACGUAUUAUUGAAUAGAAUUAAAUUAUCUAGCAAGUUUGAAGGAGUUGGUUUUGUCAGAUAAUGCAAUUGAAGGCUUUAAAUCUCCACAUGGUGGUGAAGAAUUACUGAAGCUAAGUAAUUUGCAGUAUCUUAAUUUGGGUUAUAAUAACUUUAGUAUCAACAAUUUAUCAUUUCUCAAUGGGCUGUCAUCUCUCAAAGAUUUACACAUAGCAAACAUUCAAUUGAAAGGAUCAUUCGAUUUGAAAGAUUUGGGUUUAAGCCAAUUAGAGGAA